GACGAACGCUGGCGGCGUGCCUAAUACAUGCAAGUAGAACGCUGAAGGAGGAGCUUGCUUCUCUGGAUGAGUUGCGAACGGGUGAGUAGCGCGUAGGUAACCUGCCUGGUAGCGGGGGAUAACUAUUGGAAACGAUAGCUAAUACCGCAUAAGAGUAGAUGUUGCAUGACAUUUGCUUAAAAGGUGCAAUUGCAUCACUACCAGAUGGACCUGCGUUGUAUUAGCUAGUUGGUGGGGUAACGGCUCACCAAGGCGACGAUACAUAGCCGACCUGAGAGGGUGAUCGGCCACACUGGGACUGAGACACGGCCCAGACUCCUACGGGAGGCAGCAGUAGGGAAUCUUCGGCAAUGGACGGAAGUCUGACCGAGCAACGCCGCGUGAGUGAAGAAGGGUUUCGGAUCGUAAAGCUCUGUUGUAAGAGAAGAACGAGUGUGAGAGUGGAAAGUUCACAAUGUGACGGUAUCUUACCAGAAAGGGACGGCUAACUACGUG
Molecule: ribosomal RNA, 495 nt
Filed under: uncultured bacterium
Lineage: Bacteria
Description: partial 16S ribosomal RNA
Rfam family: Bacterial small subunit ribosomal RNA
Source: RNAcentral